GUUGAGGUCUAUCCCGAUGGGGCUUUUUCUGUAGCCACACAUCGUUGGAAACGCCUCAUAGAGUAACACUGUGGUUUUGCUUUACUCACAGGACUAUUUGUUAGGUCUGUGGAAAGAACUACAAGACAAUU
Small nucleolar RNA from Nycticebus coucang (slow loris), 131 nucleotides. The record is from RefSeq and is a predicted model, not a curated record. Lineage: Eukaryota; Metazoa; Chordata; Mammalia; Primates; Lorisidae.